Molecule: non-coding RNA, 27 nt
Filed under: Rattus norvegicus (Norway rat)
Lineage: Eukaryota; Metazoa; Chordata; Mammalia; Rodentia; Muridae
Source: RNAcentral
UUUCAGAUUUCUGGACCGUGUGCCUAU